UUCGGCUCGAUCCCAUACUUUGUCAGAGUCACGAAGACCCCAUUUGAAAUCCUGAUAGGUUUACGGCUUAUGCGUCAAUGUCGAAAUUCGUAGAUGGACUGAAUGCAAGGACACAAUGCAAAGACUUACAGCACCCCAAAGAGUUCUCACUGCUGUAAACUCAAUCUUGAACCUCGGGUUAUCUUGCGCACUCCGUCCGGUACGGACGGCGUACAAUUCAACUGCUUUCCCUUCUGGCCCAUCAUCUUGACAGUCAUCCCAAAACUAUCUCCUUCUGAAAUCGUAUCCAACGCAAACUCCACCCCUCACCCUGCCAAAUCCAAUGCCUCUGAGAUGGCUUGGGAUUGAUUGUGGUAAUCGAUAGUAACGUCGGCACUGUACGAUUUGACAAGCGAGAAAGAGUGGGGAGAACAGAUGCCAAGGACGCGGUAACCUAGAGCUUUGCCGAGGGAUGUAGGGAAUAAGCCGACCGAGGUUGAAGGGCCGUAGAUGAUAUACCACGGGUUCCCGGACACUUUGGUAUUGUUUACUAGCACACAUCUCACGCACACAGACACCCACCUGAGCAGCAGUCACCCACCCAAUCCCAAAACGUCGCCCCUCCUCCAAAGGCAUUCCUCCGGUACGACAAAACACAUAUCACUCUCCACCACCGCGUAUUGAGCGUACGACCCUUCGACAGUGGAAGAUCCACCGCUGAUGCACCCUGCGACCUUGUCCCCGAUUUUGAGCGGGGUGUUGAGGUUGGGUCCGAGUUUGAUGACGGUGUCGGCGCAGUCGCAGCCGCUGAGGGCGCCGGGAGGGGAGAUGGAGAGGGCGCUUAUUCCAGUCGGUUGGGUUCUGAGAAAAAACUGAGACUUAAACAGUCGCAGAAUUUGGUACGGGAUUUGGGCUUACUUGAGCUACGUAUUGGACUUUGACGAAUUAAUACUUUCGAGAUGCGGUCCUAGAAUGGAAAGGAUUCAUCUCAUUUGGGGUCCAUGCUUGCAUAGUACUGGGAACUUCUGUAGAAGUCAUCUUGAUCUACAGGGAUGGUUCUGCAGUACUUGUGAUUUAAAUCGACAGCGUUAAGAGAUGAGAAGCAGGUAAUCAAGCAAGACGUAAUAAAUUCUGCUUCGGUAGCGGAAGGGCAUACACUACCUUUAUAGCCGACGGGUUCCACACCCUGUGCAUCUUUUUAGGCUCGUAACGGUGGAUUAUUGGAGGAAAGAGAGAAGAAUUUAACACUCCCUAUGGGUAUGUGGCAUUUAUAUACGCCGGCUGUCCAGGCGGAUCUGGAUAGAAGGAACUCGAACGAGG
Molecule: small RNA, 1299 nt
Filed under: Cryptococcus neoformans H99
Lineage: Eukaryota; Fungi; Basidiomycota; Tremellomycetes; Tremellales; Cryptococcaceae
Description: Cryptococcus neoformans var. grubii H99 hypothetical RNA
Source: RNAcentral